CGGCGGACGGGUGAGUAACGCGUGGGUAACCUGCCUUAUACAGGGGGAUAACAGUUGGAAACGGCUGCUAAUACCGCAUAAGCGCACAGUACCGCAUGGUACGGUGUGAAAAACUCCGGUGGUAUGAGAUGGACCCGCGUCUGAUUAGGUAGUUGGUGGGGUAACGGCCUACCAAGCCGACGAUCAGUAGCCGACCUGAGAGGGUGACCGGCCACAUUGGGACUGAGACACGGCCCAA
Molecule: ribosomal RNA, 238 nt
Filed under: uncultured bacterium
Lineage: Bacteria
Description: partial 16S ribosomal RNA
Rfam family: Bacterial small subunit ribosomal RNA
Source: RNAcentral